Molecule: long non-coding RNA, 3243 nt
Organism: Enhydra lutris kenyoni (northern sea otter)
Lineage: Eukaryota; Metazoa; Chordata; Mammalia; Carnivora; Mustelidae
Exons: 3
Source: RefSeq, a predicted model, not a curated record
UUUAAAAUUUGAUAUCUGUAAGUUGUUUUGUUUUGUUUUUUUGUAAAAAGCCAUUCUAAAGUAAUUGUCCUGAAUUCACAACUUAGUAGUCAAGAGCAUAGCUGAGUGACAAGACAAUUCCUUUUCUUCUAACAUGCAAUUAAUCUCAAAUCUCCAUACCUGCUUCUUUAUUAUAUGAAUUUAAUACUCUGAUUUUGUGAUAUCAGAACAUCUCCCCCCCCCCCACCCCCUUACCUCUCUCCUCUUGCAUGCUACCUGUAUUUUGACUGGUUUGCAUGUCAGCAGUUCUUUUAUAUUUGAGCAGAUAGUGGAGAAAUUCUCAGGAAAGAAGGUUGGUGAGACUACUGGUAUACUUCAGAGAUUUUUUUCACCCUUAGAAUCCUUUCUCCCCUCAGGGAGAGAUAAUGCAAAUAAUGCAAAUAAUCCUAGAGUAUUGCAGUUCUGUGUUAGGGUUGCCAACAUAAAUUUUUAAAUCUUAACGUCAUUUUACAUUGUUUCAAUCUGGUCUGAGUAAAAGUGUUAGCAAUUUAGCCUUUUUGUUUAAAAAAAAAAAAAAAAAAGACUGUAAGAGUCCUACCCUUGCUUUAUGAGAGGUUCAAAAAUGUAGUGAAAGCUUGUAACAUCCUUUUCAGAGGGUUACCUAGAAAUAAGGAAAUGCAUAUAUUUUAACAGUAACUAUGUUGAAAUUUUAAUAUACUUCCAGAAGAGUAUGCAUAUAUUUUUUUUUUAUCAGAAGAUACAUUUAAGAGGCAUUGGUUUUGAUCCUUUGUAUCUGUUACCAUAUCAGAACCUCAAACAGAAGUAUUGCCCAAAUCGUAAAGGUUAUUGUUUGAAGAACAUUUAUAACUUCAGUCAUUGCAGGGAAUGGCUCGUGUUUCUCUACUAUUCUUUGUAUUCUUUCUCUGAAAAUUCCCAGAAAUAGGCUCAAUUCCCUUUAAGUUGGAAGAAUUAAAACAUCUAUACCAUUAAUACAGGCAGCCUGUUAACAAUAAUAGGGUUACUGAAAUUAACCUCUCCAGAAUUCUGGUUUAUAGAAAUAAACAGAAGUUGUUUUGGCUGUUCAGCAUGGGCUUAUUGGUUAUCUGUGUACUGUGUGUUGUGCCCCCAGUCUAUAAAAAUGACCAAGGUGUGGCUCUUACUUUUUGGAAACUGUCACCCAGAUUGGAGGACAGAUAAGCCACAGGGCCAGGACCACAAACAAUGUCGUAAGUGCUCUGAGAGCCCAGAAUAGGUUUCAAGCUAACUUGCUUUAGUUAUUUUAAGUCCAGUUACAACUUGCAAAGGUGAACCUGCUUUCCCCUUCUUAUGUAUGGAUCCUGCUUUUCCUUUCUUGGAUUUAAUUACUAGCUCAUUUACGUAUUUUUUUUCUGACAUUAGUGUCAUUUAGUGAAUCUUGAAGUGCUCUCAUAUGCAUUAAGUUGUCCAUAUCCUUUCUGAAACAAAAUGAAAGUUAUCAUAUACAAUAAGACACUGUUCAUCUGAAUAGUUGGGUUGAUGGAAGAAUUUGGCCAGAUGUUCUUGCCCUCUGUAAACAUAUAACAUAGGGGUGAUGAUUUACAAAGCACUAAUAUGGUAAAAUACCCUGAAUAUUAAAAGUAUGCCGACUGGCAUUAUUCUUUGAAUUAAGACAUGUCACAAUCUUACGGUCUCAAAUUCAAUAUUAACAUUACUUUUAAUUUAACUAAAGAUGCAGGUUAAGAUGUAGUAAUUGAUACUAACCCCCAGAAAUACUUACGGGUGUUACAUUUUCAAAUACCUUAUAGCAACCAAGCAUGAACCCCCACAAUGUACAGUGUCUCAAAGGGGCAGACAUAAGUGUUUGCAUGACAUACGCUUCUCUGUUCUCACACAGUCUUGUCUUGUGCUCAAGAUUUGUUCACAUCUACAAGUAACUAUACAGUAGAAAGAAGAUCAAGAGUGCUGUGGACAAAGUACAUUAAAAAGAAGAGGAAGGGAGUGGCGUGUGUGUGUGUGUGUUGGAAGGGUAAUUUGGGUGGAAAUGGGAAGUCACACAGGGUAGCAAUUGAGCUGGGGCAUUAAGUGGGAUUUGAAAGAGAUUGGGGGGGUGGGAAGUCAAGAAGAGAACACUGAUCAAAGACAUGUGGGUAAGCUUCUGUCUACUUAUAGUAUUUUCUGGGCAAUUCAGUCAUUCAAUAUAGACCUCUGAUUUUGUUAAACAUUUUUAUGUCUAUGACUAGUUAAAUCUCAGGUGAGUCAGAAAUUUGAGUCCAUAAUGAAAUACAAAGUAUCUAAACAUUCAAAACUUUGCUUUUGUUCCUUUGCCCAUAUUUCUACUGCAGCACUAGAAAUACUUACUAUAAUAGGUAGUAUGUGAUUUUUGGAGUUGCUAGGAAGGACAGUGCCUUCUUUUAAGGUAGACAUUUAUUUGGAGCAUUUGUUCAGUGUAUGCAAAACAAAAGCAAAAAUCCCUACAAAAUCUCUCCAGUAAUCUCCCCAGAACACAGACCAAUCUAUUUGUCAGUGUGUAUAUCUUUCAAACUCCGUGAUUUUAGAUGGUAAAGUGCUCCUUCUUUAGUGUUUAUACUAUUUCUAGGGCCAUAGUACCCAAUUGGCUCUUAAUAUAGGACUGCAGUUUAUUUUCAUUCUUAAUCCAUAUUGCUCAAGAGCCACAUUCCUAUAAGAUGAGGGGAACAUUGUCUCAGAUGUUCCUCAGGUAUUUCCAAGAUGAGGUUUUAGUUUGAUAGCUUUUUACAUUUUUGGGGUUUUUUGGGAACUCAGUUUAUAACCACACCUUCCCUUUUCAUGAAGAACCAUAGGAAAGAAAGGCAGACCAUUGAAGCGGCCCUUUAGGGAGGAGGACUUGUUUGUUUAUUCUGCAGGCCCCUUGGACCUACAGGUUGUGGUCAGCCACAUGCCAUCUCUAACUCUGAUUUUCAUUGUACACUCCUUCCGAGAAUCCUCCCUGGACAGUUUCAGAAGCCACCAGCCCCACCAUGGACUUCCUUGCCGAUCUGAAGAAACUGGCAGCCCCCUUCUGAGUGACCCACACUUUGGAAUGAAGUACAGUUGCAAGCAAAAGGAAAUGCUGGACGAGGAGAGGAUGAUGAGGCACCUAAUUGUGGGCUUGGGAAGUGACUUGACGACCCUGCCCUGAGAGCCUGCUCGAGAGGGUUGGCAAACUCUCCUGGUCCUGCUGUGAUUCCCUCAGGCUUGUGAGGGACGACAGAUGGUUGAGCUAAACUCGGAGCCACCCCUCCACAUAAUGAAGAAAAAUGACCAGCC